This 430-nucleotide ribosomal RNA is filed under the name uncultured bacterium. RNAcentral describes it as "bacterial SSU rRNA". It matches the Rfam family "Bacterial small subunit ribosomal RNA", at positions 28 to 454 of the family's 1533-position model. The record is from RNAcentral.
GAUGAACGCUAGCUACAGGCUUAACACAUGCAAGUCGAGGGGUCUCGCGGGAGCUUGCUUCCAAGAGACGACCGGCGCACGGGUGAGUAACGCGUAUCCAACCUGCCCUUCAUAUUGGGAUAGCCUUCCGAAAGGGAGAUUAAUACAAGAUGGUAUUCAAAUUCCGCAUGUUAUUUGAAUUAAAGAUUUAUCGGUAACGGAUGGGGAUGCGUGACAUUAGAUAGUAGGCGGGGUAACGGCCCACCUAGUCUACGAUGUCUAGGGGUUCUGAGAGGAAGGUCCCCCACACUGGAACUGAGACACGGUCCAGACUCCUACGGGAGGCAGCAGUGAGGAAUAUUGGUCAAUGGUCGGAAGACUGAACCAGCCAAGUAGCGUGAAGGAUGAAGGUUCUAUGGAUUGUAAACUCUUUUAUACGGGAAUAAAACCU